Molecule: ribosomal RNA, 341 nt
Filed under: Nematoda environmental sample
Lineage: Eukaryota; Metazoa; Nematoda
Description: SSU rRNA
Rfam family: Eukaryotic small subunit ribosomal RNA
Source: RNAcentral
GGUGGAGCGAUUUGUCUGGUUAAUUCCGAUAACGAACGAGACUCUAGCCUGCUAAAUAGGCAGCGAAUUAUUUGUUCGCUGUACUUCUUAGAGGGACAAGCAGCUUCUAGCUGCACGAGAUUGAGCAAUAACAGGUCUGUGAUGCCCUUAGAUGUCCGGGGCUGCACGCGCGCUACACUGAAGGAAUCAACAUGUUUCUUUACCUUACCCGGAAGGGUUAGGUAACCCGUUGAAACUCCUUCGUGAUUGGGAUAGGGAAUUGCAAUUAUUUCCCUUGAACGAGGAAUUCCCAGUAAGUGCGGGUCAUCAGCUCGUGCUGAAUACGUCCCUGCCCUUUGUAC